This 375-nucleotide long non-coding RNA is filed under the name Anas platyrhynchos platyrhynchos (common mallard). RNAcentral's name for it is "lncRNA (ENSAPLG00000016722.1)". The record is from RNAcentral. Lineage: Eukaryota; Metazoa; Chordata; Aves; Anseriformes; Anatidae.
AUGUUUGCCAGGCUGCUAAUGAGCUCUGAUGGGUGCCCUAAGCUGCUUCACCUGAGUCCCUCAUCCCCAGAGGUCCCCCUGGGAGCUGUGUCUCCUGCUCUUGGCUUCAUUUGGACUUGCCUCGGAAACUGGGCUGUUGCUGACCCUGGCUGUGACUCCCAGACCUGUUCAACAUUUGCCCAGAACACACCCAAGGCACAAAUGGCAGAUGCAUUCCACAUUUGCUGUCCUCAAAAUGAAGCAAGGAGUUCCAUGUGGAAGUUAAGUUCAUCUUUUCUGCACAAGGAUGAAGUUGCUGUCCUCUGCUGGCCCUCUCUCGUUUUGAUGCACAUGAUCAUCACUGCAGUUACGUUUUUGGCACAAGCACGCAAGUAG